GAUGAACGCUGGCGGCGUGCCUAAUACAUGCAAGUCGAGCGAACAGAUGAGGAUCUUGCUCCUCUGACGUUAGCGGCGGACGGGUGAGUAACACGUGUAUAACCUACCUAUAAGACUGGGAUAACUUCGGGAAACCGGAGCUAAUACCGGAUAAUAUAUUGAACCGCAUGGUUCAAUAGUGAAAGACGGCUUUGCUGUCACUUAUAGAUGGAUCCGCGCCGCAUUAGCUAGUUGGUAAGGUAACGGCUUACCAAGGCAACUAUGCGUAGACGACCUGACAGGGUGAUCGGCCACACUGGAACUGGGCCACGGUCCAGACUCCUAAGGGAGGCAGCAGUAGGGAAUCUUCCGCAAUGGGCGAAAGCCUGACGGAGCAACGCCGCGUGAGUGAUGAAGGUCUUCGGAUCGUAAAACUCUGUUAUUAGGGAAGAACAAAUGUGUAAGUAACUAUGCACGUCUUGACGGUAACUAAUCAGAAAGCCACGGCUAACUACGUG
Molecule: ribosomal RNA, 497 nt
Filed under: uncultured bacterium
Lineage: Bacteria
Description: partial 16S ribosomal RNA
Rfam family: Bacterial small subunit ribosomal RNA
Source: RNAcentral